RNAcentral lists this transfer RNA (74 nucleotides) under Haloarcula sp. 1CSR25-25. Its description in RNAcentral is "tRNA-Lys". It matches the Rfam family "tRNA". From Rfam's summary of the family: Transfer RNA (tRNA) molecules are approximately 80 nucleotides in length. Their secondary structure includes four short double-helical elements and three loops (D, anti-codon, and T loops). The record is from RNAcentral. Lineage: Archaea; Methanobacteriati; Methanobacteriota; Halobacteria; Halobacteriales; Haloarculaceae.
GGGCCGGUAGCUCAGUCUGGUAGAGCGACGGCCUCUUAAGCCGUCGGUCGAGGGUUCAAAUCCCUUCCGGCCCG